Molecule: long non-coding RNA, 412 nt
Organism: Brassica napus (rape)
Lineage: Eukaryota; Viridiplantae; Streptophyta; Magnoliopsida; Brassicales; Brassicaceae
Exons: 3
Source: RefSeq, a predicted model, not a curated record
AAAAGAAAGAGCUCGGGCAAUAUGAGACCUCCACACGUUCAUCUCCAACUCCAAUGAGCAGACAUAGGAAACUGGUUUUCUUUGCAAGGCCCAGAUUGUUGGUGUCCUCAAAUAAAAUGGAUGGUCCUUUGUUUCUUGCAUCAGUUGCAGCAGGAAGCUUUCAAAAUCCGUCACUUUCUUCAGUUGCAACCGAUAUCUUUCUUCCAACCUGACAUGAGUCAUCAGAUCCAGGUUUCGUGUUGAACUAGCUGUCGAUGACGGAAAGGACAGUGCCACUUUUGUGGUCUUUGCCAAAGAGAUGACAAAACUCAUCAAGAAAGAGGCAACAAAUCUGGCUCUUGAGGAAGUACGUUUUCCUUUCAUAAUUUCUCUUAAAUUUGGCAUAUAAUAUUUUCUCUUACUCUAAAGCCGC